CCUACGGGAGGCAGCAGUGGGGAAUUUUGGACAAUGGACGCAAGUCUGAUCCAGCCAUGCCGCGUGUGGGAAGAAGGCCUUCGGGUUGUAAACCACUUUUGUCAGGGAAGAAACGGCUCGGGUUAAUACCUUGGGCUAAUGACGGUACCUGAAGAAUAAGCACCGGCUAACUACGUGCCAGCAGCCGCGGUAAUACGUAGGGUGCAAGCGUUAAUCGGAAUUACUGGGCGUAAAGCGUGCGCAGGCGGUUAUGCAAGACAGAUGUGAAAUCCCCGGGCUCAACCUGGGAACUGCAUUUGUGACUGCAUGGCUAGAGUACGGUAGAGGGGGAUGGAAUUCCGCGUGUAGCAGUGAAAUGCGUAGAUAUGCGGAGGAACACCGAUGGCGAAGGCAAUCCCCUGGACCUGUACUGACGCUCAUGCACGAAAGCGUGGGGAGCAAACAGGAUUAGAUACCCUGGUAGUCCACGCCCUAAACGAUGUCAACUGGUUGUUGGGAGGGUUUCUUCUCAGUAACGUAGCUAACGCGUGAAGUUGACCGCCUGGGGAGUACGGCCGCAAGGUUGAAACUCAAAUGAAUUGACGG
This 585-nucleotide ribosomal RNA is filed under the name uncultured bacterium. Its description in RNAcentral is "bacterial SSU rRNA". It matches the Rfam family "Bacterial small subunit ribosomal RNA", at positions 338 to 916 of the family's 1533-position model. The record is from RNAcentral.